GACGUAGGGCGCGAGCGUUGUCCGGAUUUAUUGGGCGUAAAGAGCUCGUAGGCGGCUUGUCGCGUCGUCCGUGAAAACCUGCAGCUCAACUGCAGGCUUGCGGUCGAUACGGGCAGGCUGGAGUUCGGUAGGGGAGACUGGAAUUCCUGGUGUAGCGGUGAAAUGCGCAGAUAUCAGGAGGAACACCGGUGGCGAAGGCAGGUCUCUGGGCCACUACUGACGCUGAGAAGCGAAAGCAUGGGGAGCGAACAGG
Molecule: ribosomal RNA, 253 nt
Filed under: uncultured bacterium
Lineage: Bacteria
Description: partial 16S ribosomal RNA
Rfam family: Bacterial small subunit ribosomal RNA
Source: RNAcentral